This 391-nucleotide ribosomal RNA is filed under the name Brevimyrus niger. RNAcentral's name for it is "partial 12S ribosomal RNA". It matches the Rfam family "Bacterial small subunit ribosomal RNA", at positions 794 to 1384 of the family's 1533-position model. The record is from RNAcentral. Lineage: Eukaryota; Metazoa; Chordata; Actinopteri; Osteoglossiformes; Mormyridae.
GCCCAGUCGUAAACCUUGAUGAUAAACUACAAAUAUCAUCCGCCAGGGAACUACAAGCGUAUCGCUCGAAACCCAACGGACUUGGCGGUGCCCCACACCCACCUAGAGGAGCCUGUUCUAUAACUGACAAUCCCCGUUCAACCUCACCACUCCUAGCCCCUUCAGUCUAUAUACCACCGUCGUAAGCUCACCCUGUGAAGGAUUAACAGUAAGCAAGAUGGGCACAACCCAAAACGUCAGGUCGAGGUGUAGCAUAUGGAGUGGGAAGAAAUGGGCUACAUUUUCUAUCUACAGAACAUUACGGACGACGUCAUGAAACCUGCCGUCCAAAGGAGGAUUUAGCAGUAAAAAGAAAACAGAGAGUUCUUUUGAAGCCGGCCCUGGGGCGCGC